UCUUGACUAACUAUUGGUCUAAGUUGACAUUUAUUUAACCCAUAUUUAUUAUCCAAUUACUCGCUUCGUUUUUACAAGUACUGACAUCUCUUAAUCCUGCCUAUACCAUUUAUCCUGUGUAUUAUUCACUCAUUUAAAAUUAAGAUUAUUCUAAUCAUCUCAAAUCGGGCGAUCUCAUCUGGUUUGUGAGUCGGACUAGUUCAACUUCAUAGACCACUAAGCUCUAAACAUGAUCUCAAAUAAAGUCACCAUUUACUACCCUGAGAUAAAAUUGCUGGUGACUUCAUUCGUAGGUAUCAUCAAUGACAAUAUCUAUAAAUGGAAAUACGCUAUAUACCUUGCGUUGCCUAAAUAGCUGAGUACAACCUGUUGGACGACUUCUCUUGCAGUAGUCCGUAAACUUGGAAUUGACUCCAGCUCCUUUAACUUUGCAGCUCCAUUGCAUUGUCUGUUCGGAACCAGCACAGUGUCCUUCACAUCUCUCUACUAGACAACCUAAACUUAGAAAGCUUUGACCUCCUACUAUGCAACUCCAUGAAACUCCGUAGUUGUUGUCACAAACCAACUUGCUUGACUAUCAUCGACAUAUUUGUAUUGAACAUUGUACAGAUGUGCUAUCAACACACCACAAGAAGCAAGAGACACGGUUUGUCUCUUAUUCGCCCCUUGUACAUUGCAAAAGCUAAUGUCCAAAUCCUUAAUCGAUAUACCUGGUUGAAGGAUUGAUAUUUUCAGGUCCUUCAUAAACACUGUC
Non-coding RNA from Schizosaccharomyces pombe (fission yeast), 754 nucleotides. Lineage: Eukaryota; Fungi; Ascomycota; Schizosaccharomycetes; Schizosaccharomycetales; Schizosaccharomycetaceae. The record is from the annotation of a GenBank genome assembly.